UCGGGAAUUUUGGGCGAUGGGCGAAAGCCUGACCCAGCAACGCCGCGUGAAGGAUGAAGUAUUUCGGUAUGUAAACUUCGUAAGAAUAGGAAGAAUAAAUGACGGUACUAUUUGUAAGGUCCGGCUAACUACGUGCCAGCAGCCGCGGUAAUACGUAGGGACCAAGCGUUGUUCGGAUUUACUGGGCGUAAAGGGCGCGUAGGCGGUGUGUCAAGUCAGUUGUGAAAUCUCCGAGCUUAACUCGGAACGGUCAACUGAUACUGUCACACUAGAGUACAGAAGGGGCAAUCGGAAUUCUUGGUGUAGCGGUGAAAUGCGUAGAUAUCAAGAGGAACACCUGAGGCGAAGGCGGGUUGCUGGGCUGAUACUGACGCUGAGGCGCGAAAGCUAGGGUAGCAAACGGGAUUAGAUACCCCAGUAGUCCCUGAGCGGGCUGGCAAGGCGCAU
This 447-nucleotide ribosomal RNA is filed under the name uncultured bacterium. RNAcentral's name for it is "bacterial SSU rRNA". It matches the Rfam family "Bacterial small subunit ribosomal RNA", at positions 355 to 825 of the family's 1533-position model. The record is from RNAcentral.